UUGCAAACUUUGUAAAUGUUUGCGGAGUAAAUAUUUUCGUUUUGAGUAUUGAAACUGAGUUUAAGGUAACCAGUUUGUAGAGUCAUGCCAUGCACGUAAUUUAAGCUGAUAUCUUUCAUUAACAUUGUUCAAUUGCAAAUGGAUACCGCUGGCACUCGCUAACUUUUAAGUUUAAAAUGUUCAACCAACCCGCAACCAGAAAAUAGAGGUGAAUUGAUCUGAAAAAGAAUGCCGUCCAGAAUGCAGCAUUCUCAAAAUAUGGUUGCUAAAAUAUGGACUUAUGAUCUACGGCAGUGAAUGUGAUGAAGAGUAGUGGAAAUAUUUUCUUCUCAAGAUGAACUACAUUCUGACGUCAUGAGAUAAUAAUACAACAGUUCUGUUCGCCCUCUCCGAUCCCUUUGGCCCGGCUAGGUUAUAAAUGGUAGUACAGUGUAUGGCGACACAUUCUGGAGGUAUUGGAAUACUCCAACAGUUCUUGCUGUCUCCCUCUUGGGUUUAUACAACCCCCGGAAGUACAGAGAAAAGAGCAUACACAGUGUGGAAUCUCGAAUCUCGAUAGCCUCUUAAGAGGACGUAAAAGCAACUCUGAUCUUGGAGGCUGGAAUUUCAACAAUUUCAGAUGUCGAAGGUAAUGGAUAGCAGCGUCUAGAAAUGCCCACUGUACAACUGAGAAGUGCUCCUUUGUUGCCCUCCUUCUCCAGACACUACAUGUCAAUAGUCCGAACAAAAAGUUUUAAUAUAAGUAACUGCUAAGGAGGGAUUGUCGUUGAGAAAGGCAUUUAAAAGACCAAUCCAGAGCUUUCUGCCUUCAAAAUGUUUUUUUCACAGCAGACCAUUAAGUUUUACAACAGAUAGAAACAGAAUCCUUAACAAACUGUGCCCAGCCCAAAACCUACCAAAUCAGACUGAUUAAAGCUGCUCAUAUCUGCUAUAGCAUCAAUUAAAAAUCAAUGUUAUAGCUGAAUACAGCGACGACUCCGAACUAAUCGAUGAAGAUGCGAUGCUGGUCGCUUCUUGUAUUAAAAAUAAUCUGAGACAAACAAUGUUAUUACUAUAAUAUUGUAGCAUAACGA
Bolinopsis microptera is the source of this 1073-nucleotide long non-coding RNA. RefSeq lists it as uncharacterized. Lineage: Eukaryota; Metazoa; Ctenophora; Tentaculata; Lobata; Bolinopsidae. The transcript has 6 exons. The record is from RefSeq and is a predicted model, not a curated record.